GACGAACGCUGGCGGCGUGCUUAACACAUGCAAGUCGAACGGAAAGGCCCUGCUUUUGUGGGGUGCUCGAGUGGCGAACGGGUGAGUAACACGUGAGUAACCUGCCCUUGACUUUGGGAUAACUUCAGGAAACUGGGGCUAAUACCGGAUAGGAGCUCCUGCUGCAUGGUGGGGGUUGGAAAGUUUCGGCGGUUGGGGAUGGACUCGCGGCUUAUCAGCUUGUUGGGGGGGUAGUGGCUUACCAAGGCUUUGACGGGUAGCCGGCCUGAGAGGGUGACCGGCCCCAUUGGGACUGAGAUACGGCCCAGACUCCUCCGGGAGGCAGCAGUGGGGAAUAUUGCACAAUGGGCGGAAGCCUGAUGCAGCAACGCCGCGUGCGGGAUGACGGCCUUCGGGUUGUAAACCGCUUUCGCCUGUGACGAAGCGUGAGUGACGGUAAUGGGUAAAGAAGCACCGGCUAACUACGUG
This 468-nucleotide ribosomal RNA is filed under the name uncultured bacterium. RNAcentral's name for it is "partial 16S ribosomal RNA". It matches the Rfam family "Bacterial small subunit ribosomal RNA", at positions 28 to 507 of the family's 1533-position model. The record is from RNAcentral.